This is a long non-coding RNA of Cuculus canorus (common cuckoo), 900 nucleotides long. RefSeq lists it as uncharacterized. The record is from RefSeq and is a predicted model, not a curated record. The transcript has 4 exons. NCBI's taxonomy places the organism in Eukaryota, Metazoa, Chordata, Aves, Cuculiformes, Cuculidae.
UUCAGAUCUGGGGAAACACAAAUACUUCCCUAGUAUUUUAUCCCUGCUUCUCAAGAUCUGAACUCAGAACCUGCAAAUCAAAAGUACUAUCUUGACAUGCAGGGCUGUUGCCAUACUGCAUGCCGGUUUAAUUCCCUUACUCGUAUCCAAACUGAAGACUGAGCUGGAUGGAAUCCAGGAGCUGAUCCUAGAUACGCUCUCCAACUGUGUAUACGUGGAGGCUUCCAAAGCUCUAGCAGCUGGUGUCAUUCCUAUCCUGAAGGAGAAGCUCACACACUCCUCGGUGGCCAUUAGAGCCAAAGCAGCUUCGGUCCUCUUAGGAAUUGGCAUUCAUCCAGAGGCAAAAAGCAUGGUGUGUGAAGAAGUCAUUCCAGUGCUGGUGGGCCUGCUGGAAGAUGCAGAUCCUGACGUCCAGGCCAGUGCAACGGGAGCACUGAUGUUUGCUAUCAUUAAACCUCAGGGGAGAUUCUCAGCCCUGGGUGCUGGGGCCAUUCCAUCUUUGCUGAAGUUGGUUGCUGAGGAAACGAGCAAAGCCCGUCUGAGCGCCAUCAAAGCCCUCACCAUGCUGGCUGAGCUGCCGCAGGGCCGAAGGACACUGCUGGACCACAUGGCUACAUUUCAGCAGUGUCUGGGGGAUCCCCGGGAGGCAGUGAAAAGAGCUGCCAGAACCGCCAUCAGCGUCAUCGAAUGGAAACCGUGCUGAGGAUGCAAUGGCUCGCGGAGAUCUAAUGCCCUCUGUUGUUGUCGGCCUGUAAAAGUUGCCUGAUUACACAAGACCUUCAAAUUGCAAACUCUCUGCCUCAGUUACUCUGGAGCAGUUCUCCUGAAAAGCCAUUUGCCAACAGUUUCACAUCUGGAUCAUAGGUCACUAGCAGAAGACUGGGCAAGGGGAAAGGUUAG